Long non-coding RNA from Betta splendens (Siamese fighting fish), 1660 nucleotides. The record is from Ensembl. NCBI's taxonomy places the organism in Eukaryota, Metazoa, Chordata, Actinopteri, Anabantiformes, Osphronemidae.
AGAAAGGAAUUUUGAAGACAGAGUAGCACAACGUGUCAAAUUGUAUUAAAGGCAUUUAGCUUAUUAAGGGGCCCCCUGGCGGUGGGACCAAUGGACCUUUGUGCAAUAAAAAAGAGAUCUUCUUUCAUGCAAAGCCAAAUUAAACAUACCGCCAACCAAACUGUGAAAUCCAGCAAUUCAAAAGCAUUUCCAGCGCGAUAGUGCAGCCCACAGUCGGGGAAAAAAAGUUUGUUCGCAGAUAGGCUCCUCGAGCCUGAAAGCCCGCGUGACGUAGCAGCUCCUCUUUUUUUUUUUUUUUUUUUUGUAGCCCGACUGUCUUCAUUAAGUAGAAAUGUAGGCUUUUUACAACACACCGACGCCUUUGCGUUUCAGGCUCAGUUGCCGCUGCCUCCCCGGCGUCCGCGGCGCGCGCUCGCUCGCCACCAUUUAUAGCCGCGCGGCGGCAACAAUCUUGUUAUGAGAUUUAAACUUUGCCUCCGCCAGGAUCAACAUGCGCUCGGCGCGCGCGUCCCCCCCUCGCGCUUCUUCCCGUCUCGCGCGCUCUCCGCGGCGAUAGCGGCGCUGACAUCUUACCUACAGUGCCCGCCUUGUUUGAGUGCGCUCUUAAACGCCGGUGUCAGCUCUCGGCGUAAUAGAAAAAGCCGAGCGGGUCUGUGCGCGUAAAGGCGAGCGAUGAGAGGAGCUCAGCCCCGAAUUAAAUCACUCACAGCUAAAUGGAUCUUUGAGACCGUCCCUUGACGCAGUGAGCCGCUGCUCUGUGCAUCUCCAGACCGACAACAGACAGCUGGGAUUCUUUUAUUUUUUUAUUUUUGUUUUGCGCUACCCAACGCAAUCCUGCCCAGACUCUUGAAUAUGCUCCGUGUUGGCGGCGGCACAUAUUAAGCUGCCGGCUUUGCGUCGGGAAGAGGCUGCCGCUCCGCUGUCGUCACGCAGUUCAAGGAGAUACGUCCGCGAACAUCUGUCCCAGCUGCAGGACGCCAGGGAUGCUCCCUCACUCCGAGGCCCUCGCCCCGGGUUACAGAGGUGAGUGCGGGCGGGAGCAGACGCCCCCUAAGAGGAUCACAGAGAAUCCAUCACUAAUCCACAGGUCAAUACAUAUGACAGGUACAGUGCCAAAGACGAGUCACUCAAAGGACACGUCAUCAUCCCGGGAGCGGACGGCUUCGAUGUGACCGGGGGGCGUCCGUGCUGCGUUCAGGUUCCCUGUCUCAACCUGGGAUUUAAACUAAACUGUAGGCAUUAGGGGAUUUUCCCAGACAGAAUGAAGUCUCAUAGGAGAUAGUUGACUCCAAUAUCUAUGUAAUCUCAGUGAGGAGCACGUCCUGCUCCCGCCUUUCUACUGUUCCAUUACUGGCGGGGCCAUGACACGGCCUGAUGGCCGUACAGCGGACGUGCACACUGAACAAUUCAUGCUAAUUAAUAGACCCCUCACAACAGAGCUGCGUCCUUAGAGCCUGAGUCAUCACUGACUCACCCUCACGCAACAUAUUUUCAUAAUCUCCUACAGUAGAACCACUGACUCACUGUAGUGUGAUGUAAAGCCGAGCCCCGCGGCCUCAUUAAGGCGCCGGUCAUGAGCUUAGGUUCACCUCCUGCUGUUUGUUUUACUGGAUGAAAGAUGGACAGCGGGUAGUAAUAAUAAAACCCAUAAAACCCCUCA